CCUACGGGAGGCAGCAGUGAGGAAUAUUGGUCAAUGGGCGUAAGUCUGAACCAGCCAAGUCGCGUGAAGGAUGAAUGCCCUAUGGGUUGUAAACUUCUUUUAUAUGGGAAUAAAACGUUCCACGUGUGGGGUUUUGUAUGUACCAUAUGAAUAAGGAUCGGCUAACUCCGUGCCAGCAGCCGCGGUAAUACGGAGGAUCCGAGCGUUAUCCGGAUUUAUUGGGUUUAAAGGGAGCGUAGAUGGGUUGUUAAGUCAGUUGUGAAAGUUUGUGGCUCAACCGUAAAAUUGCAAUUGAUACUGGCAGUCUUGAGUACAUUUGAGGUAGGCGGAAUGCGUGGUGUAGCGGUGAAAUGCUUAGAUAUCACGAAGAACCCCGAUUGUGAAGGCAGCUUACUAAGCCGUGACUGACAUUGAUGCUCGAAAGCGUGGGGAUCAAACAGGAUUAGAUACCCGUGUAGUC
This 460-nucleotide ribosomal RNA is filed under the name uncultured bacterium. Its description in RNAcentral is "partial 16S ribosomal RNA". It matches the Rfam family "Bacterial small subunit ribosomal RNA", at positions 338 to 795 of the family's 1533-position model. The record is from RNAcentral.